UAAUACGUAGGGGGCGAGCGUUGUUCGGAAUUACUGGGCGUAAAGAGCGCGUAGGCGGUCAAAUAAGUCAGGCGUGAAAUCCCUCAGCUUAACUGAGGUUUGGCGCUUGAAACUAUUUGACUUGAGUUUAGGAGAGGAGAGUGGAAUUCCCAGUGUAGCGGUGAAAUGCGUAGAUAUUGGGAGGAACACCGGUGGCGAAGGCGGCUCUCUGGACUAAUACUGACGCUGAGGCGCGAAAGCUAGGGGAGCAAACAGGAUUAGAUACCCUGGUAGUCCUAGCCGUAAACGAUGGGCACUAGGUGUGGGAGGUAUCGACCCCUUCCGUGCCGCAGCUAACGCAUUAAGUGCCCCGCCUGGGGAGUAUGGCCGCAAGGCUGAAACUUAAAUGAAUUGACGG
Molecule: ribosomal RNA, 397 nt
Filed under: uncultured bacterium
Lineage: Bacteria
Description: bacterial SSU rRNA
Rfam family: Bacterial small subunit ribosomal RNA
Source: RNAcentral